RNAcentral lists this transfer RNA (72 nucleotides) under Nanobdellota archaeon. RNAcentral describes it as "tRNA-Gly". It matches the Rfam family "tRNA". From Rfam's summary of the family: Transfer RNA (tRNA) molecules are approximately 80 nucleotides in length. Their secondary structure includes four short double-helical elements and three loops (D, anti-codon, and T loops). The record is from RNAcentral. Lineage: Archaea; Nanobdellati; Nanobdellota. RNAcentral also lists the same sequence under 1 other name.
GCGUCAGUGGUCCAAUGGUUAAGACCUCAGCCUUCCAAGCUGAUAAUCUGGGUUCGAAUCCCGGCUGGCGCA